AGUGAACGCUGGCGGUAGGCCUAACACAUGCAAGUCGAACGGCAGCACAGUAAGAGCUUGCUCUUACGGGUGGCGAGUGGCGGACGGGUGAGGAAUACAUCGGAAUCUACUUUUUCGUGGGGGAUAACGUAGGGAAACUUACGCUAAUACCGCAUACGACCUACGGGUGAAAGCAGGGGAUCUUCGGACCUUGCGCGAUUGAAUGAGCCGAUGUCGGAUUAGCUAGUUGGCGGGGUAAAGGCCCACCAAGGCGACGAUCCGUAGCUGGUCUGAGAGGAUGCUCAGCCACACUGGAACUGGGACACGGUCCAGACUCCUACGGGAGGCAGCAGUGGGGAAUAUUGGCCAAUGGGCGCAAGCCUGAUCCAGCCAUACCGCGUGGGUGAAGAAGGCCUUCGGGUUGUAAAGCCCUUUUGUUGGGAAAGAAAAGCAGCAGGUUAAUACCCCGCUGUUCUGACGGUACCCAAAGAAUAAGCACCGGCUAACUUCGUGC
This 493-nucleotide ribosomal RNA is filed under the name uncultured bacterium. RNAcentral describes it as "partial 16S ribosomal RNA". It matches the Rfam family "Bacterial small subunit ribosomal RNA", at positions 29 to 508 of the family's 1533-position model. The record is from RNAcentral.